Molecule: ribosomal RNA, 440 nt
Filed under: uncultured bacterium
Lineage: Bacteria
Description: partial 16S ribosomal RNA
Rfam family: Bacterial small subunit ribosomal RNA
Source: RNAcentral
CCUACGGGUGGCAGCAGUAGGGAAUAUUGCUCAAUGGGGGAAACCCUGAAGCAGCAACGCCGCGUGGAGGAUGAAGGUUUUAGGAUUGUAAACUCCUUUUGUUAGAGAAGAUUAUGACGGCAUCUAACGAAUAAGCACCGGCUAAUUCCGUGCCAGCAGCCGCGGUAAGACGGAGGGUGCAAGCGUUAUUCGGAAUCACUGGGCGUAAAGGGUGCGUAGGCGGGGUAAUAAGUCAGAUGUGAAAUCCUGUAGCUUAACUACAGAACUGCAUUUGAAACUGUUACUCUGGAGUGUGGGAGAGGUAGGUGGAAUUCGUGGUGUAGGGGUAAAAUCCGUAGAGAUCAAGAGGAAUACUCAUUGCGAAGGCGACCUGCUGAAACAUUACUGACGCUGAUGCACGAAAGCGUGGGGAGCAAACAGGAUUAGAUACCCGGGUAGUC